UCUGCAUGUUUCCACCAACGACGUGUUUUCAAAGCAACAACGGUGUAUCAGUUCUAAUGCCAUGGCGAAAAUUCUAACAAAGCAUGCUAACGGUUCUGUCUUUGGCUGCACUGAAGAGCACAGAACACUAUGUAGGGUCCUAGUCUUAGUGGAGACAGGAGAGUAGUGGAUUUAUUGAUUUAUUUACUGUCUAAUGCU
Molecule: long non-coding RNA, 198 nt
Organism: Sinocyclocheilus grahami
Lineage: Eukaryota; Metazoa; Chordata; Actinopteri; Cypriniformes; Cyprinidae
Exons: 3
Source: RefSeq, a predicted model, not a curated record